CGCCCAAUCGCCGGGCUGCCUGAGAAGUUUGCAUGCUCUUGCUGCUGAUCGAUCACCGUUUUACUGGCAUUGAAAUUCCAAACGCUCUCCCAUCAAGGUUACGCGCAUUAUUAGCCCGCGAAUGCAUUAUACUUCAAAGCAUGCCCAGCAGAAUGCAGCAGGAAUUUGUUCAAGAUGCACGUACUGUUCCUUUCCGGACCUGCAGCGCCAUUUAAGAGUUACCGCGAGUCUACCAUGGGGAGUAAUAGCGCGUUCCGCUCAGCGCAGCAGCUUCUGUCUCAGGGAGACUAAAUUCGAAGGAAGUAUCAAUAACAGCAGUGGAAAACGCCGUGCUCCUUAUAUAAAACAGUGAAAAUGAAUCACGACUCAACGCCUACAAGUUAGAAACUGACAGGGGUUCCCUGGUCCAGGCAAAUACAUUUUCUGAGUGCUGACAGAUGUAUCCAUGGGGUGUGAACUUAAGAAGAUUUUUCUUCGAAAUGUGAUUAAUUCCUUUUUGCCUUUGUUUCGUUUAUUCUGUUGAAGUGUUAAUAUUAAAAUCCGGCGCCACAUUUUUUGUAUAACUUAAUAAAGGCAAUAUUAAUUGACUUUUCUUGAGCCUUGGUCUAUACCACGGGCAAUGUUAGUGGAAGUUUUAAAACACAACUUUCUUGUUGUUUUUGUGGAGUCAUAAAAUAAAGAUCCUGGAUUUUUUUAUUUUUCUUCAUCUUCUUCUUCAAUAAAUACUGUUAUGAAAACGUAAAUAA
Molecule: long non-coding RNA, 746 nt
Organism: Stegostoma tigrinum
Lineage: Eukaryota; Metazoa; Chordata; Chondrichthyes; Orectolobiformes; Stegostomatidae
Exons: 3
Source: RefSeq, a predicted model, not a curated record